GUAGUCCACGCCCUAAACGAUGUGUGCUAGAUGUCGGGGGACUUGUCUCUCGGUGUCGGAGUUAACGUUUUAAGCACACCGCCUGGGGAGUACGGCCGCAAGGUUAAAACUCAAAGGAAUUGACGGGGACCCGCACAAGCGGUGGAUGAUGUGGAUUAAUUCGAUGCAACGCGAAAAACCUUACCUACCCUUGACAUGUACGGAACCUAGCUGAAAGGUUAGGGUGCUCGAAAGAGAGCCGUAACACAGGUGCUGCAUGGCUGUCGUCAGCUCGUGUCGUGAGAUGUUGGGUUAAGUCCCGCAACGAGCGCAACCCUCGUUCUUAGUUGCUACGUUAAGGCACUCUAAGGAGACUGCCGGUGAUAAGCCGGAGGAAGGCGGGGAUGACGUCAAGUCCUCAUGGCCCUUACGGGUAGGGCUUCACACGUCAUACAAUGGUCGGUACAGAGGGUCGCGAACCUGCGAAGGGGAGCUAAUCUCAGAAAACCGAUCGUAGUCCGGAUUGCAGUCUGCAACUCGACUGCAUGAAGUUGGAAUCGCUAGUAAUCGCGGAUCAGCAUGCCGCGGUGAAUACGUUCUCGGGUCUUGUACACACCGCCCGUCACACCAUGGAAGUGGGUAUUACCAGAAGUGGCUAGUUUAACCGCAAGGAGAACGGUUACCACGGUAGGAUCCAUGACUGGGGUG
Molecule: ribosomal RNA, 687 nt
Filed under: uncultured bacterium
Lineage: Bacteria
Description: bacterial SSU rRNA
Rfam family: Bacterial small subunit ribosomal RNA
Source: RNAcentral